RNAcentral lists this ribosomal RNA (497 nucleotides) under uncultured bacterium. RNAcentral describes it as "partial 16S ribosomal RNA". It matches the Rfam family "Bacterial small subunit ribosomal RNA", at positions 28 to 507 of the family's 1533-position model. The record is from RNAcentral.
GAUGAACGCUGGCGGCGUGCCUAAUACAUGCAAGUCGAGCGCAGGGAGGAGAAGCUUGUAUCGCUGAGAUUAGCGGCGAACGGGUGAGUAACACGUGGAUAACCUACCUAUAAGACUGGGAUAACUUCGGGAAACCGAAGCUAAUACCGCAUGAUAUUUUGAAACACAUGGUUCAAGAGUGAAAGACGGACUUGCUUCACCUUAUAAUGGUACCCGGGUUUCAUUAGCUAUUUGGGAGGGAAAGGGCUUACCAGGCGAAGGAUGAAUGCCCGCCCGGAGAGGGGGACGGGCCAAACGGGAACGGAGACCGGGCCAAGACCCUUACGGGAGGCAGCAGAGGGGAAUUUUCCGCAAUGGGCGAAAGCCUGACGGAGCAACGCCGCGUGAGUGAUGAAGGUCUUCGGAUCGUAAAACUCUGUUAUUAGGGAAGAACAUAUGUGUAAGUAACUGUGCACAUCUUGACGGUACCUAAUCAGAAAGCCACGGCUAACUACGUG